RNAcentral lists this unclassified non-coding RNA (1919 nucleotides) under Hevea brasiliensis (rubber tree). Lineage: Eukaryota; Viridiplantae; Streptophyta; Magnoliopsida; Malpighiales; Euphorbiaceae. The record is from RNAcentral.
UUCAUCACUUACAGCAUACUCAACUUGCCAGCUUCGGCUUUUCACUUUAAAAUUAAUGCACAUAAAUAUAUGCAUUUCACCAUAUCUAUUACAACAACUAUACAUUUACAAAUAGAAAAAAAUUACAAAAAAAGGGAAGACUUUUGAGAUCCGAGUAGAGAUCUCUUGUUCCCCACCAAUAACAUAGAUAAUAAAUUGGAAGUCACCUAGGGGCUAAAUAUAUGAAAAUAGCGUGUAUAUAUACAAAAGGCAGCUUCACAAUUAUAGUUGCACAAAGAUGACUACAAGAGAGAAGAUUGUCUUCUAGGAUCCAAUGACAUAAAAGAAAUACCCUCAGCAAACUCCCUACGUCAUCUGCUGGCUUUACAAUAAUAAAAAAUAAAAUCGCCCUUCAAUUAAAAAUUUGAAGGGAAAAAAAAGAAUCAUUGGAUUAGUGAGAGCAGGGUCAAAGGCUGAAAUCAUUCGUAGUACAUUGUAUUUCAGCAUACAAACAAAACAAAUCUACCCAUAUCCCUAACGAGCCACUUCAUGACAAUGAUUGAACUUUCUCCAGAACACGCAUUCUAAAUCCUGCUGCUAGAAGUCUAGAGCACCCCUUCAUUCCACAUACUGCCCCCUGGUGUAAAAUGCAGGACAAAGAUUUCAUAUCCUCCUUAUAUUGCUCGCAACACAAUUAACACAAUUAAGCAAAGGAGAAGAACAGCCCAGACAACUACUUGAACAGGUCGACUAUAUUGCAUUUGAUAAUGAGACCGUUGAAGCUGUCUCUGUAUAACUCCAUACCAGCCAUAAAGCUGCUUAUCAUAACACUCAUCACAACCAUCCAAGCAGCUCUUACUUUUUUCAUAAUAUGAACACAUGCCCCUGGUCAAUUGUGAAGAAAACAAGCGUGCAGUAUCAGAUUCUUUAUUACUAUCCAGUGCCUUCCAUUUCCUACCACCACUCUUUGGCAACUUGAAUUUGGAUGCACAAUCCAUGGAACUUAAAAAUCCUGAUAAACUAGGUACUUUUCGCAGGGGUUGCCCAUUAGAAGAAUUUGCUUGACAGCUAACUCCAGCGAUUGCAAUCUUCCAACCGCCAAUGUCAGCACUAGCACUGGCUGUCCUCCUAUGCCCAUGAGAUUUCUCAUCCCUGGCAUCCAGGGAAUCCCAUUCGACUGAAUGAUUUGAGCUCUUCAAACAAUCAGCGGUCAAUUCUUUAACCAUCCUUUGUUGGUUUUCAUCAUCUAUGUUGUGAUUUUUGACAGUAGCAGCGUCUCCAAAUGCUGAUGGCCCCGACAAAAACAAUGCAAGUUCAUUACACUCGCCUUCAUCUAAUCGCACCCAAGGCGACGAUGUCUUGCCCUCCAAAAGGGCAGAUUCUUUUAAUGAAUGUUCAAUUUUUGAAAUCUGGUCCUCAAUUGCUAUGAUAAAUUCCCGAUGCCUGUCUCUUGCAUCCUCGAUAAAGGUUUUAUUGUAACUCAACCUGACAGCACGUUGAAACUCGUCUAACUGCCAUUUGGUGGUGCCAAGGGCAAUACGAAGGUCACGGCGGAGUUCCUCAGAAUUCCACAAACUUGACGCAUCUUUCUUUGCGUGAAUCCAAGUUCUAUACGUUGAUUCCAUCCUGUCCGCUGAUUCUUGAACUUCCUCCGCCGCAGAGAAGAAAGGAUCCUUCUCCCAUCGAUCAAAACUUGAAGCCAUAUGAUACCAGCGACGCAAAAUUAAAUUAAUUUUCACCAAAAACGAAUAGAAGAUAUAAAAAUAGAUUAUGGGUAAAUUAAAAGAAAAAACCUAGUUGAUAGAUUCUGCGUCCUCAAAUCUCGUAAUUAGCCUUUGUUAUAACUGAAAAUCAAGCAGAAGCUAAGAUUAUAAUCUAAAAUGGAUGGAAGGGAAGGAAGCAGAAGUGCUUUUGGGUUAGAUGCACAAAAUGUGGGACAA